GAGGAUAUAGCUGAAGCACUAGAGCACAUGCUUAACAUGCAUGAGGUCCUGGGUUCAAACCCCAGUACCUCCU
Molecule: transfer RNA, 73 nt
Filed under: Camelus bactrianus (Bactrian camel)
Lineage: Eukaryota; Metazoa; Chordata; Mammalia; Artiodactyla; Camelidae
Also listed under: 2 other names
Rfam family: tRNA
About the family: Transfer RNA (tRNA) molecules are approximately 80 nucleotides in length. Their secondary structure includes four short double-helical elements and three loops (D, anti-codon, and T loops).
Source: Rfam by way of RNAcentral